Molecule: ribosomal RNA, 774 nt
Filed under: uncultured Neocallimastigales
Lineage: Eukaryota; Fungi; Neocallimastigomycota; Neocallimastigomycetes; Neocallimastigales
Description: partial large subunit ribosomal RNA
Rfam family: Eukaryotic large subunit ribosomal RNA
Source: RNAcentral
CAUAGCGACUAUCGUGGCAUAUCAAUAAGCGGAGGAAAAGAAACUAACAAGGAUUCCCUUAGUAACGGCGAGUGAAGCGGGAAGAGCUCAAAUUUGAAAUCUUCAAGGUUUUACCUUGACGAAUUGUAGUUUAAAGAAGUGUUUUCUGUUGAAGUUUUGGUAAAAGUUCUUUGGAAUAGGACAUCAUAGAGGGUGAGAAUCCCGUAUUUGACCAUUAUUUUCAGCUGUGUGAUACACUUUCAAAGAGUCGGAUUGUUUGGGAAUGCAGUCCAAAAUGGGUGGUAAAUUUCAUCUAAAGCUAAAUAUUGGCGAGAGACCGAUAGCGAACAAGUACCGUGAGGGAAAGAUGAAAAGAACUUUGAAAAGAGAGUUAAACAGUACGUGAAAUUGUCAAAAGGGAAGCGUUUGACACCAGUGUUGUUUUCUCGAAAAUCAAUUAAAAAAGGCCGGAUUUUGUGUUGUAUUGACCUUAAAAGCUUUCUUCACUCUUUUCUUGUCUUUUUUAAUGCACUUUUCGUUUAACAAGUCAACAUCAGUUUCUUUUGUUGUAAAAGGGUCAUUGGAAGGUGGCUUUCUUUUCGGAGAAAGUGUUUAUAGCCUUUGAUCUCUGCAACCGGAGAGACUGAGGUCUGCAGCGUAGACUCUUCGGGGUUAGAUACAUUUGUGCUAAGCUAUAGCUUUUUAUAGACAACUUGUUGACUAUAUUUAGUCUUGUGGCUUACUCGCUUAUGCUAUUUUACCUACGCUUAGGAUGUUGAUAGUCACAGCGUGUAC